GAACUGCGCGAACGUUAUUCGGAAUCACUGGGCUUAAAGGGUGCGUAGGCGGCAAUGUAGGUGGGGUGUGAAAUCCCUCGGCUCAACCGAGGAACUGCGCUCCAAACCACAUUGCUUGAGGAAGUCAGAGGUAAGCGGAACUGAUGGUGGAGCGGUGAAAUGCGUUGAUAUUAUCAGGAACACCGGUGGCGAAAGCGGCUUACUGGGACUUUUCUGACGCUGAGGCACGAAAGCUAGGGGAGCGAACGGGGGAUUAGACACCCCGGUAGUCCUAGCUGUAAACGAUGAGCACUAGCCCCGUGGGGGACCCCUCACAUCCCUCUCGGGCGUAGCGAAAGUGUUAAGUGCUCCGCCUGGGGAGUAUGGUCGCAAGGCUG
This 377-nucleotide ribosomal RNA is filed under the name uncultured organism. RNAcentral describes it as "partial 16S ribosomal RNA". It matches the Rfam family "Bacterial small subunit ribosomal RNA", at positions 527 to 896 of the family's 1533-position model. The record is from RNAcentral.